GUGCGCAUAACAGUUCUUGCAAACAAGUCACAUAGCCUUAAAGAGAGUAAAACGGGGGUGAUUUGGGAAACAAACACCAAGCAGGCUUCAUCUUCUUAGCUGAAGCACCGCAUUCCACUUUUUUUUUUUUCAUCACUCUUUGCUUCUUGAACUUGGGGCAUGGCUUUCUAUGAUGCAUGCACGAUCGAAGCUUGUUCUUAGGAACUCUGUCCAUGUUACACAGACUCAUAAAACAGGUAGCAGAGGAAGCACUCUGCCAAAUCUAAAGGACGAUUAUCAGUAGCAACAAUCGAUGCAAUCUCUACCAGGAGAUUUAACCCUCCAGACCUUCAAAAUCACCCAACAUUCUUCUUUUUCUUCUUCUUCUUGUCGAUUGCUUUGCUGCGGCUGGCUACUGCGCCUCCUUUAAACAUCAACCGACCUCCGGUCACUCUCUCGUAUGGGUCCGACAUGGAUCCUUGCCGUGGAUGCUUUUGUUCUCUGUUUUCUCGCAGCUACGAGCUUAAA
Molecule: unclassified non-coding RNA, 507 nt
Filed under: Hevea brasiliensis (rubber tree)
Lineage: Eukaryota; Viridiplantae; Streptophyta; Magnoliopsida; Malpighiales; Euphorbiaceae
Source: RNAcentral